UACGAAGGGGGCUAGCGUUGCUCGGAAUCACUGGGCGUAAAGGGCGCGUAGGCGGAUCUUUAAGUCGGGGGUGAAGGCCUGAGGCUCAACCUCAGAAUUGCCUUCGAUACUGGAGAUCUUGAGACCGGAAGAGGUAAGUGGAACUGCGAGUGUAGAGGUGAAAUUCGUAGAUAUUCGCAAGAACACCAGUGGCGAAGGCGGCUUACUGGUCCGGUUCUGACGCUGAGGCGCGAAAGCGUGGGGAGCAAACAGG
This 253-nucleotide ribosomal RNA is filed under the name uncultured bacterium. Its description in RNAcentral is "partial 16S ribosomal RNA". It matches the Rfam family "Bacterial small subunit ribosomal RNA", at positions 524 to 776 of the family's 1533-position model. The record is from RNAcentral.